GACGUAAGGGGAUGCAGUCGUUGCCGGAUUUAUUGGGCGUAAAGAGUUCGUAGGUGGUUUGUUAAGUCUGAUGUUAAAGACUGGGGCUCAACCUCGGAAAUGCAUUGGAUACUGGCAGACUUGAGUGUGGUAGAGGCAAUCGGAAUUCCAGGUGUAGCGGUGAAAUGCGUAGAUAUCUGGAAGAACACCGGUGGCGCAAGCGGAUUGCUGGGCCAUAACUGACACUGAGGAACGAAAGCUAGGGGAGCAAAUGGG
Molecule: ribosomal RNA, 255 nt
Filed under: uncultured bacterium
Lineage: Bacteria
Description: partial 16S ribosomal RNA
Rfam family: Bacterial small subunit ribosomal RNA
Source: RNAcentral